RNAcentral lists this ribosomal RNA (168 nucleotides) under uncultured Bacillota bacterium. RNAcentral's name for it is "uncultured Firmicutes bacterium partial 16S ribosomal RNA". It matches the Rfam family "Bacterial small subunit ribosomal RNA", at positions 339 to 524 of the family's 1533-position model. Lineage: Bacteria; Bacillati; Bacillota. The record is from RNAcentral.
CUACGGGAGGCAGCAGUGGGGAAUAUUGCACAAUGGGGGAAACCCUGAUGCAGCAACGCCGCGUGAAUGAUGAAGGCCUUCGGGUUGUAAAGUUCUGUCUUUUGGGACGAUAAUGACGGUACCAAAGGAGGAAGCCACGGCUAACUACGUGCCAGCAGCCGCGGUAAU